Molecule: long non-coding RNA, 2803 nt
Organism: Corvus hawaiiensis (hawaiian crow)
Lineage: Eukaryota; Metazoa; Chordata; Aves; Passeriformes; Corvidae
Exons: 3
Source: RefSeq, a predicted model, not a curated record
UAUAAAAGGGAUUAGAGAAGCUGUUCCUCGAGUUAAUAAUAUGAAAAAGGCAUUUUGUGGGGAACAGGAAAAGGAUGAGUCCCCAACAGCUUGGAUGGCUCGGUUAAGGAAUAACAUCCAACUUUAUUCUGUCAUUGAUUUAGACAGUGAAGGAGGCAAAACUAUGCUAAAAGUACAUUUUGUGCUUCACUCCUGGCCUGACAUCAGGAGAAAACUGGAAAAAUUGGAAAAAUGGCCAGAGAGGGAACUGGAUGAAUUACUGGAGGAAGCCCAAAAGGUCUUUGUUAGGAGGGAUGAAGAGAGGAUGAAGGCUAAAAGCUGAAUAACGAACAACAGUACUAAUGCUCCAAUCAACCCUCCUACUCAAAGAACUUUCCAAGGGGGUAUCCCACAACAGCAUUGUCCCCAGCAACAGCCACAAACUUCCACUUGCCAUAUACAACCAAACCUACAAUCUACCUCAAACGUUCAGGGACUCAAAAGACUAAUUUGCACAUAUUGUAAUAAAGAAGGCCACGGGCACUGGCACUGUUUUAAAAAGCAGAGAGAUCAAGGAGUCCUCCAAAUGGAGGAACAAAUUCUGAAUAAAUGAAGGAGUCAGGGGCUCUAUUCUCUGGGGCAAAAACAUCUUAAAGAGCCCUUGAUAAAAUUAGAAGUUGGACCCCAGAGACAGCAAGUGGAGUUUUUAGUGGACACAGGUGCCAAAAAAACCUGUGUCACUGAAACACCUCCAGGAUGUUGCAUUUCACGAGAUACAUUAGACAUAUAUGGUGCUAAUGGCGAAAGUUUCACCGUUCCUAUAAUUAAAAAUGUGACUCUUUUCAUACAAGGGCGCACCCAUACAGGGGACGUCCUGUAUCUACCUCAAGCUGGAACCAAUCUCCUAGGAUGUGACUUCCAAAUACCUCUAAGAGUUGGGGUGGUACCGCAAGGCGGAAAAAUGUCCACUAAAUUAUUUGUUUUAUCUUUAACAGAUGAGCAACACAUUGACCCAGUAGUGUGGGCCAAACCCGGCAACCGGGGAAAAAUGGACAUCACACCUCUAACAAUUGAGUUGCUCCCAAAUAGCCAGCCAGUACGUGUACCACAAUAUCCCCUCUCUAAGGACAAAAGAAAGGGCCUGAAACCUGUCAUCAUGGACUUACUACGAGAUGGAAUCCUCAAAACCUGCAAAUCAUCCUACAACACUCCAAUUUUGGCUGUCCAGAAACCAGACUCUGCUUUCACAUAACCAUAUUGUCACAUCAACUGUAUAGAAAGGCUCCAUUUGAAGCCAGCAUUCUCUUUCAAUAACAGUUCAAUCAGGCUCCAAAUUUACAGGCAUGGUACCUUUAAUCUUUAACAAGGCCAACCCCAAAUUAACCACGAGUUUCCAGAAGCCUGAAAUCGCUGAAGAACCAUCUGAAGGUGAAAAGCCUAAAGAAAGGACUAAAGGAGCAAAGAUGACAAGCCCCACUAGCAGAGACAACCCUAAUGCUAACAACUCCUCCUGGGUCUGCCUAAAGGGGAAAGUGAGCAACACCCUGAUAGUAAAUGUCAUCUGUCUCUGGGUCCUCUGGUUUCCCUUCACACAAGCAGCGGACAGCCGCUGUAACAAAUGUUACAAGACUGUGUAUCAGGCAGAAGGAAGCUCAUUUCAAAUUAGACACUUUUUCCGAGCACAUACUUAUGUUAACCCAUCUUGUUACAACAUAACAGAAUUAAGUACCUGCUCAGAAAAAGGUCACAAGUAUUGGAUUGGCAGAAGCAUUGGCACCCAAAAACAUAAACAGAAGGGAGAGUGCCCCUCCCAAGACGAUUGGCUUUGUUUCAAUUUUAGAUAUAUAACCAAGACAGAAGAUUUGUUAAAAAGAAAGACCUAUGACACCGACCUGAUCCAGGAGGUGGUCAUAGAAGGAAAAACAAAAAGAAAACAAUCCUUUGAUGUCAAGGAAAAACUUAUUUAUUGACCUGGCAGAAAGGAUUGGACAACAGCUAAAUUUGACAAAUUGCUGGGUGUGCAGAGGAACUUUAGAAUCAGAAAGUUGGCCUUGGCAGGGAGUCAGUCUUGGACCCCCCGAUUUACUCCAACUGAGUAAUCUUUCCCCCACAACCCGACAUGACAAUGAGACUUGGCUACUAAGUAAUUCUGUUACUGGAGAAGAAGGCAUCCGGAGGAAAGGAAGAAAAUUCUUAAAAGAAGUUGGUGAGACAAUAUGCAAAAGGUACCUGGUAACUGAUGGGCAAAGGCACUGGUGGAUACCCCAAGAACCAGACGUAUUCUGGUCUGCAGAAAAGAUUAGAAACAAAAACUGUGUUUUGAAUUCCGUUAAAAAAACUCUGGCAGUGCUGGGAUCAGGGAAAUCCAUACUCUGUCCUGCCACAAAUUUCCAAGUACUGGAUCACAGCAGCAAGUAUACAGCCCCACUUCUGGGAAGCACCACAGGACCUCUAUUGGAUCUGUGGUAACCGGGCUUAUUCCAAUUUACCACCUCGCUGGAAAGGGAGCUGCACGCUCGGAGCCAUUCAACCAAACUUCUUCCUGCUUGCUGAGAAUGCUGGAGCCCACCUUGGAAUCCCCCUUUACAACGAACUUUCCCGUACUAAGAGACAUGUAAUAGGAAGGACCCAGAGAUGGGGAGAAGAAGAGUGGCCAGCCGAGAGGAUCCUAGAGACUUAUGGACCUGCAACAUGGGCACAAGAUGGGAGCUGGGGGUACCGAACUCCCAUCUACAUGCUAAACCGGAUCAUCAGACUGCAAGCACUAAUUGAGGACUUAUUUUUCUCCCUUGUUUAAUCCCUUGUUUCAUCCGUUUAAUCACCA